Molecule: long non-coding RNA, 359 nt
Organism: Mangifera indica (mango)
Lineage: Eukaryota; Viridiplantae; Streptophyta; Magnoliopsida; Sapindales; Anacardiaceae
Exons: 2
Source: RefSeq, a predicted model, not a curated record
UACAUAUCGCCCAAUUUCUCCAAUUUUUAAGAGUUGGGGAAAAUAUGAAGAAGUUUCUCAUUUUUCUCCUCUUCACCCUUGCCCUCGUUUUUUCAAUGCCUAUGAAAAACGAAGCAGCAAAAUUUUGCCUGCUGCCGAAACAACCAAGCUUGGGUUGCAAUGACCCGACAAAAUGCCAUCCUGCGUGUGUACAACUUUACAGGGGACAAUAUCCUCCAUAUAAAAUAACAUCACUUUGUGGGUAUGGAUCAAAUUGUGUCUGCUUUCUAUUAUGCGAUUAAUCAAUUUAAAGGGCAAUUUCCCCAACUUAUGUGAGAGUCCAAAUAAGAAUAAAAAGAUUUAUUUAUAUUGAUGUGUAA